Molecule: non-coding RNA, 283 nt
Organism: Colwellia sp. Phe_37
Lineage: Bacteria; Pseudomonadati; Pseudomonadota; Gammaproteobacteria; Alteromonadales; Colwelliaceae
Source: Rfam
CUUCGUCAAUUUGUUGCGGACAGAUAAAGUGAAUAUGUGCAUCGAUUCCACCUGCCGUUAAAAUUUGUCCUUCGCCAGCAAUAACUUCAGUACCUGGACCAAUUUCAAUAUCAACAUGGUCUUGAAUAUCUGGAUUUCCUGCUUUACCAACCAUGGCAAUACGCCCAUUUUUAAUGCCAACAUCUGCUUUAACAAUACCCCAAUGAUCAACAAUGAGCGCAUUGGUGAUCACUAAAUCAACAGUUUCAAAACAUGAUGCUUGGCUUUGCCCCAUACCAUCACG